Molecule: transfer RNA, 66 nt
Filed under: Diadegma semiclausum
Lineage: Eukaryota; Metazoa; Arthropoda; Insecta; Hymenoptera; Ichneumonidae
Description: tRNA-Asp
Source: RNAcentral
AAAAAAUUAGUUAAAUUAUAACAUUAAAAUGUCAUUUUAAAAUAAUUUUAAAAAAAAUAUUUUUUA